GUGGGGAAUAUUGGACAAUGGGCGCAAGCCUGAUCCAGCAAUGCCGCGUGAGUGAUGAAGGCCUUAGGGUUGUAAAGCUCUUUCGCCCGCGACGAUGAUGACGGUAGCGGGAGAAGAAGCCCCGGCUAACUUCGUGCCAGCAGCCGCGGUAAUACGAAGGGGGCGAGCGUUGUUCGGAUUUACUGGGCGUAAAGGGCGCGUAGGCGGCCGAUCAAGUCAGGCGUGAAAGCCCCGGGCUCAACCUGGGAGGUGCGCUUGGGACUGGUUGGCUUGAGUUCGGGAGAGGAGAGUGGAAUUCCCAGUGUAGAGGUGAAAUUCGUAGAUAUUGGGAAGAACACCGGUGGCGAAGGCGGCUCUCUGGACCGAGACUGACGCUGAGGCGCGAAAGCGUGGGGAGCAAACAGGAUUAGAUACCCUUGUAGUCC
Molecule: ribosomal RNA, 425 nt
Filed under: uncultured bacterium
Lineage: Bacteria
Description: bacterial SSU rRNA
Rfam family: Bacterial small subunit ribosomal RNA
Source: RNAcentral